RNAcentral lists this ribosomal RNA (1424 nucleotides) under bacterium NLAE-zl-H525. Its description in RNAcentral is "bacterial SSU rRNA". It matches the Rfam family "Bacterial small subunit ribosomal RNA". The record is from RNAcentral.
UCGGCUACCAUGCAGUCGAGGGGCAGCAUUUUAGUUUGCUUGCAAACUGAAGAUGGCGACCGGCGCACGGGUGAGUAACACGUAUCCAACCUGCCGAUAACUCCGGGAUAGCCUUUCGAAAGAAAGAUUAAUACCNGAUNGCAUACNAAUANCGCAUGAUAUUUUUAUUAAAGAAUUUCGGUUAUCGAUGGGGAUGCGUUCCAUUAGUUUGUUGGCGGGGUAACGGCCCACCAAGACAACGAUGGAUAGGGGUUCUGAGAGGAAGGUCCCCCACAUUGGAACUGAGACACGGUCCAAACUCCUACGGGAGGCAGCAGUGAGGAAUAUUGGUCAAUGGNCGAGAGCCUGAACCAGCCAAGUAGCGUGAAGGAUGANNGCNCUAUGGGUCGUAAACUUCUUUUAUAUGGGAAUAAAGUAUUCCACGUGUGGAAUUUUGUAUGUACCAUAUGAAUAAGGAUCGGCUAACUCCGUGCCAGCAGCCGCGGUAAUACGGAGGAUCCGAGCGUUAUCCGGAUUUAUUGGGUUUAAAGGGAGCGUAGGUGGAUUGUUAAGUCAGUUGUGAAAGUUUGCGGCUCAACCGUAAAAUUGCAGUUGAAACUGGCAGUCUUGAGUACAGUAGAGGUGGGCGGAAUUCGUGGUGUAGCGGUGAAAUGCUUAGAUAUCACGAAGAACUCCGAUUGCGAAGGCAGCUCACUAGACUGUCACUGACACUGAUGCUCGAAAGUGUGGGUAUCAAACAGGAUUAGAUACCCUGGUAGUCCACACAGUAAACGAUGAAUACUCGCUGUUUGCGAUAUACAGUAAGCGGCCAAGCGAAAGCAUUAAGUAUUCCACCUGGGGAGUACGCCGGCAACGGUGAAACUCAAAGGAAUUGACGGGGGCCCGCACAAGCGGAGAAACAUGUGGUUUAAUUCGAUGAUACGCGAGGAACCUUACCCGGGCUUAAAUUGCANCAGAAUAUUUUGGAAACAGUAUAGCCGNAAGGCNNNUGUGAAGGUGCUGCAUGGUUGUCGUCAGCUCGUGCCGUGAGGUGUCGGCUUAAGUGCCAUAACGAGCGCAACCCUUAUCUUUAGUUACUAACAGGUCAUGCUGAGGACUCUAGAGAGACUGCCGUCGUAAGAUGUGAGGAAGGUGGGGAUGACGUCAAAUCAGCACGGCCCUUACGUCCGGGGCUACACACGUGUUACAAUGGGGGGUACAGAAGGCAGCUACCUGGNGACAGGAUGCUAAUCCCAAAAACCUCUCUCAGUUCGGAUCGAAGUCUGCAACCCGACUUCGUGAAGCUGGAUUCGCUAGUAAUCGCGCAUCAGCCAUGGCGCGGUGAAUACGUUCCCGGGCCUUGUACACACCGCCCGUCAAGCCAUGAAAAGCCGGGGGUACCCUGAAGUACGUAACCCGCAAGGAGCUCCUAGGGUAAAGCUAUU